CUGACAGUCCUGGAGCCUGAAGUCAUCUCAUUAUCCACAGAGCAGGUGCAGCACGGGAGGCAGCAGGGUAGGUUUUUUCAGCACGGAUCUGACAAGCCCUGCCUUUAGCAGUAAGAUGCCAGUUUUCUGUGACAGAUAAAUUGUUGAUCUCCU
Molecule: unclassified non-coding RNA, 153 nt
Organism: Calidris pygmaea (Spoon-billed sandpiper)
Lineage: Eukaryota; Metazoa; Chordata; Aves; Charadriiformes; Scolopacidae
Source: Ensembl